GCCACUGACUAGAAUGACUACAAUUAAAUACAAUACCAAAUGCUGAAGAUGUUCGACAACUGGAAUAUUUCUACAUAGCUGAUGCAAAAACUGAGCUGUAGAGAGGAUAUGUUGCUUGCCUACAGCCACAAGACUUUCUUACAAGCAGCAGACCUGUCUCCUGCGUACUUGUUUAUUGGUUCCUUUACAUACUCUGCAUACUGUUGUUUGCACCAUUCCUCCCAAUAUUUCCAAUACAAGUAUAACGCAUCGGAGGCCAGGAAAAAUCAGUAUUUGGAUGAAGUCACACAACUCUGCUGCACAGCCAGGCACAGAAUCCAUGGCUUUUGAUGCCCUAUUGAUUAUUCUUUUCACCACACCUGCUUUAUUCCUGAUAAGAAAUUUCAUCCCAGAGAAAUGUUCAUGGCCAUCAUAAAACUGGUGAAAGAGAAAACUGGCUAGUGGGGUAGAUAUUUUCUUGAAAAUUUUCUUGAAGUGGUAUAUCUGCCUACUCUAACCAACACACACACGCACGCACGCAUGUGUGCACACACUAACAUAAGUGAUUAUGAGAUCUUGAAGAUAAAGUAAUCUCUUAUUUGUGAUCCCAGAGGAGAAACCUCAUUUUAUGCACAUAAUUAAGAUAAACUUAAAUGUUCUAGGCACAUUUUAGGGUCUCUAAAGCAUCUAGGGUACAUGUUUUACAUUCUUAGCUUGUAUUUGUACUGCAUAUUUUUAUCAUGUCUAUUUAGUAUAGGGAUGAUGACUAUGAGGACAGCAGAUAUGAAUUUAGUUUCAGACCAUACUGCAUUAAAAUGUCUGCUUAAGUUUUAUUCCAUAUGCCACUUUGGGAAACUCAAUAUUGUAACAUUGAGCACUCAAUUAUUUGUCCUUGGUUCUCAACGAUUAUACAUAGGGUGGAAUAGGUGCUGUCCGUCGAUGUAUUUAUCCACAUGCUCCUAUGUCUCACAUUUAUGUGCAUAACAGCAUGAGUUUAAACAUAUAGCAUUUUCCUUCUUUUCCUAAGAGGUAUGUAUCCAGCAGUUUAGAAGUGCCCAGGAAUUCUACCCACCAACACUCUAAUUCCACAUUAAAAAUUGCCCCACAACCAGUGAUUAAUAAAUGGCCUUGUGCUAUAAAUGAUCAAUCCCCUCACCCUUCAGUUGGAACAGUUCUGGGGCACACAGUCACAUUGAUUUGUGGGAUUCCUCAACAGAUUUAUGUUCUACUUGCCAAUAGUGGCAACUUGUAUGAUGACAUGUGCUCUAUUGGUUUUGUUUCCCUUUCUGAGUCAUUUUUCCAGUCUCCUACCAGAGUUUCCUACACUAAGCUCCA
Heterocephalus glaber (naked mole-rat) is the source of this 1314-nucleotide long non-coding RNA. NCBI's taxonomy places the organism in Eukaryota, Metazoa, Chordata, Mammalia, Rodentia, Bathyergidae. The record is from Ensembl.